Molecule: long non-coding RNA, 837 nt
Filed under: Phoenix dactylifera (date palm)
Lineage: Eukaryota; Viridiplantae; Streptophyta; Magnoliopsida; Arecales; Arecaceae
Description: long non-coding RNA (PDAC_LNC000904)
Source: RNAcentral
UCUUCCCGUCUCUGUCCUCGCUCUCCCAUUUCCUCGCUCUCUUUUCCUUCUCCCGAUCCUUUCCGUGCCCUAGAAACUUCUAAAAAACCCCGUUCCUCGCACUCGUCAGCGAUCUCGGUUCCUCUUUCUCCUUCUCUCCCCCUCUUCCUCAAAACAUAGCGGACACAAUCUAGGAUUUCUCUUCUCGGAAUUCUGAGAUCGGGAAAAUGGCUGACGCGUUCGAGGACGAGGCAGAGCAGACGGUCUCGAAGCAGAAGAGCUGGUACGGAUCUUUUUAUCUUUUCUUUACUUGAAAAAUAAAUCGGUGAUUUUAGGGCAUUUAUAGUUUUUUUUUCUUGCUGGAUUUAUUUCCAUUACCCUGUUGAUUGGAAACCCUAGGAAGCUGACUUCGUUCUGGGAGGGGACGAGGGCAAGGAGUGGACUCAUGCUAACGGGUACAUGAAGAGGCAAGCGAUAGCCAGCAACGCAGGGGUUUGCACGGCCUGUAGCCUCUCCUGAUGAAAAGAUAAAAUAAAAGGGGAGAAAAACAAUCGCCACCGCUGUAGCGAGACUGGUGAACUCUCUAGUUUGCUUAGCCAGAACUUAGUCUCGUGGUUGUAUCUCACUCAAUCUGAGAGUCCAUCUCUUAUAGAAGCGCUCCAAUGUUGGGAUUCUAAAACCAGAUGGAAGCUGCGACAAUUCUGUGUCAUCCAUUCUCCAACGGAUAAUUUAGUUUUAGACUCACGUAUUUGCUACGAUGGAGUACCGAGAUACUCCAUUUAUUUGGGUUUCAUGGCCACAGCGAUCAACAUCUCCUGCCACAAUGGCUAUGAGGUAGAAGGGAUCCUCUCUUAUCUG